This is a long non-coding RNA of Mesocricetus auratus (golden hamster), 278 nucleotides long. RefSeq lists it as uncharacterized. The record is from RefSeq and is a predicted model, not a curated record. The transcript has 3 exons. Lineage: Eukaryota; Metazoa; Chordata; Mammalia; Rodentia; Cricetidae.
AAGUGCAACUGUGACCCAUUAUUAGGUAGAGGAGGGGCUGACUCAAGCUCUGUUGAGUUCUGGAGAGCAUCGGAAGGGCAGAGACUGCAUCUUCUGAAUCAGGAAGACCAUGAUAGGUAUUUUCUCUUAUCUGUUAGGAUACCUGCAAGGACAUCAUCUCCUGUGAUGCAGCUGGACUCUGGCUUAUAUCACACUGUAUCUUCAAGCUGGGCCCCUGGCCAAUUACUACAAACCUGAAAACAGAUGUUAUUCCACUGAUAUCCUCAUGCUAUUAGUGG